AAGUCGUAACAAGGUUUCCGUAGGUGAACCUGCGGAAGGAUCAUUAUCGAGUUUUGACACGGGUUGUAGCUGGUCUCUCCGGAGGCAUGUGCACGCCCUGCUCAUCCACUCUACACCUGUGCACUUACUGUGGGUAUUGGAAGGCGUCGCGCCGUUUCUUACGGUGAGGCGUUAACCGUGCCUACGUUUUACUACAAACGCUUCAGUAUCAGAAUGUGUAUUGCGAUGUAACGCAUCUAUAUACAACUUUCAGCAACGGAUCUCUUGGCUCUC
RNAcentral lists this unclassified non-coding RNA (273 nucleotides) under Coriolopsis gallica. RNAcentral describes it as "partial internal transcribed spacer region". The stretch from base 1 to 46 matches the Rfam family "Eukaryotic small subunit ribosomal RNA", at positions 1786 to 1831 of the family's 1831-position model. Lineage: Eukaryota; Fungi; Basidiomycota; Agaricomycetes; Polyporales; Polyporaceae. The record is from RNAcentral.